This 75-nucleotide small RNA is filed under the name Xanthomonas citri. Its description in RNAcentral is "sX9 sRNA". It matches the Rfam family "Xanthomonas sRNA sX9". Lineage: Bacteria; Pseudomonadati; Pseudomonadota; Gammaproteobacteria; Lysobacterales; Lysobacteraceae. The record is from RNAcentral. RNAcentral also lists the same sequence under 7 other names.
AUGCCCAACCCGUACACUCCGGUUCCUCCGCGCCGUCUCCCCCGCCUGGCGACUGCUCGCUACGUCUUGUUAGCC